This is a long non-coding RNA of Triticum aestivum (bread wheat), 2077 nucleotides long. RefSeq lists it as uncharacterized. Lineage: Eukaryota; Viridiplantae; Streptophyta; Magnoliopsida; Poales; Poaceae. The transcript is spliced from 3 exons. The record is from RefSeq and is a predicted model, not a curated record.
UAUACAGAGAGAAGAGCGACACGAACAAUACUCCUAUAUGAACACACAACGAAGGCAACAACUGUAGUACGUACGUAAGUGUAGCUUAGCCUCCUCUGCACGCCAUGGCGAUGCUGAAGAAGAACACGGGCUCCCUCAGCUUCGUCGUGGCCGCCCUCAUGGUGGUCAUGGCUGCCACCCUUCUCCUCUCCUCGUGCGACGCCCGCAACACGAAGGAUAAGCCCACCGCUUUCCCGGUGCCGGCGAAGUGCUACGCGAGGUCUUUCCCGAACUGCACCGAGGAGCGGUGCAAGAUGUUCUGCAUCCAGCCGCUCCCCGGAGCCGUCUGCCUCGACAAAAAGACCUGCUGCUGCCCUGUUGCUUAAUUAUAAAUGCCGUUGAAGCGAUCGAGCUAAGAAGCAGUGAAAGAUGACAAUAAGCAAUCUUGGUACACCUCUAAAUACGUAGUCUUUAUUUGUUAACGGUGUCCCUAUUUAUGACCUGUCAACCAAAGAUUUGUGUAUUGUAUUAAUGUAUGUAUUAUAUCACCACAACAAUGUGCUCGCUAUUAGCUUUAACGAGUUCCGUAUAUCUUGAGACACAAUGAUCAUUGCAUCAGUCAUACGACAAAAUUAGAAAAGAUAGAAUAAAGAAACACAUUUAGGAUGGUGCAAGGUGCCACCCGGGGCGUUCAACAGUUUUUUCGAGGGCAGGUUGGCAAGUAGGCAAUGACGUUAAUUAGCACAAUAUCAUAAGGGCAAUCAAAUAGUACAUUUGUACCUUAAUAUAAUACAUUUUUGUAGUUUGAAUUAGACUGUAAAAACAUCUUAUAUUAAGAUACAAAGGGAGUACAAAAAGAUGUCGGGGAGAGAGAGAGAGAGGACUGCAUGUAAAAGUUGUCAUUUUUCAGUUUGAUGGUUCAUUUUUAUUUAAUGGUUGCUAACGUGGUCCCAACUGCACUAGAACUAUCAUUGUCAAUAUUAAAAAGUAUAACCUUUAGCCUCAAGGUUUGACAUGUGCUUGAAUGGUUACGAGGGUGGUUGUAACCCUAUCCACCACAUAUCAAACUCAAUGUUGACACCAUGUGUGUCUUGUUGAGGCAGAAUGUUCUUCUGAUGAGAGGGGGCAUUCCCCUCGAUAGCGAGGUGCAUGUGACGAAUUCAUCAAUCUUGAAGUUCCGUGACUCUGAUUUCCAGUAAACGGUGUGUGUGUCAGUGUGUGUGUGUGUGUGUGGUGUGGCAAUGUACACGCAUGUGCACAUUUUACACUGUACUCGGUGUUUCUAAAAUAAGGUUCCAAUUAAGAUUUGAAUACAACAUACAGGCGAGGAUUAGUUACUUCACCGGUUUCAAAAUCAUCUUAGAAUUGAUGCGCUUAUGUUUGCGUAUCAGUUGAGAAAGAAUUAUGAACAUCGAUAUCAUCAAUUGAUGCUACUACGUAUAGCAUGAAAUAUAUUUUCAUAAUAUUUAAUUCUUAUUCCCUCCGUCCCAUAAUAUAAGAACGUUUUUUAUACUAGUGUAGUGUAAAAAAAUGUUCUUAUAUUAUGAGACGGAGGGAGUAUUUUUCAUAAAACAAGAUAUUUUGGAGGAAAAAAAUGAUGGCCAUAUAUCGUAUUAAAGAAUAGGCCAAAACAAAACAUACUACUGUAUCAAUUUGCUGUAAUAAAUCAAAAUAUUCUCGUUUCUUGUAUGGUAAUCUCAAUAAUAAUUGAUUUGGUUGGCCUCCAGCAUCUCAAUAUAUAAAAUCUCCAUAUAAAGUCUCAUUAAUUUUAUUUGUACGCACUAUAGUAUCAAUUAGCCGCAGUGGUAUAGCCUGCUCAUUUAUGGCAUAUAUCUCGGCGUAAUUAUUUUUCCAUAUAUUUCCACAAGGUGUAUAAAUCGACCUCUCUAUAAAUAGCCUGACGCCAGGGUACACACCACAUCACUCAAUUCAGAUUCAGAAGAAAAACAAGAGAGAAGAAAAGAGAAUUAGGACCAGCCAUCACUCAUCCUCAUGGCGAUCUUCAAGAGGAACACCGCCGCGCUGAUCUUGGCCGCCCUCGCUGUCAUGGCCGCCGUCCUCUCCACAUGUUGCCUCGCAGACGAGGGAGAGAGAUGCU